AGCAGCCGCGGUAAUUCCAGCUCCAAUAGCGUAUAUUAAAGUUGUUGCAGUUAAAAAGCUCGUAGUUGAACCUUAGGCCCGUGCGGGUGGUCCGUCCUCAGGGCGAGCACUGCUCCGUCGCGGGUCUCACCUUCUGGCGAGCGUGGAUGCCAUUCAUUUGGUGUCCGCGGGAACCAGGACCUUUACCUUGAAAAAUUAGAGUGCUCAAAGCGGGCUCCGACGCUUGAAUACAUUAGCAUGGAAUAAUGAAAUAGGACGAUGGUUCUAUUUUGUUGGUUUCCGGGACCUUUGUAAUGAUUAAUAGGGAUAGUUGGGGGCAUUCGUAUUCAAUUGUCAGAGGUGAAAUUCUUGGAUUUAUUGAAGACGAACUACUGCGAAAGCAUUUGCCAAGGAUGUUUUCAUUAAUCAAGAACGAAAGUUGGGGGAUCGAAGACGAUCAGAUACCGUCGUAGUCUCAACCAUAAACUAUGCCGACUGGGAAUCGGGCGAUGUUACCUUUUACGACUCGCUCGGCGCCCCG
Molecule: ribosomal RNA, 520 nt
Filed under: uncultured Paraglomus
Lineage: Eukaryota; Fungi; Glomeromycota; Glomeromycetes; Paraglomerales; Paraglomeraceae
Description: bacterial SSU rRNA
Rfam family: Eukaryotic small subunit ribosomal RNA
Source: RNAcentral